GCAUAUCAAUAAGCGGAGGAAAAGAAACUAACAAGGAUUCCCCUAGUAACUGCGAGUGAAGCGGGAUGAGCUCAAAUUUAAAAUCUGGCAGUUUUACUGUCCGAGUUGUAAUUUAGAGAAGCAUUUUCUGUGCUAGACUGUGUACAAGUCUCCUGGGAUGGAGCGUCAUAGAGGGUGAGAAUCCCGUCUUUGACACAGACUACUAGUGCUCUGUGAUAUGCUCUCAAAGAGUCGAGUUGUUUGGGAAUGCAGCUCAAAAUGGGUGGUGAACUCCAUCUAAAGCUAAAUAUUGGCGAGAGACCGAUAGCGAACAAGUACCGUGAGGGAAAGAUGAAAAGCACUUUGGAAAGAGAGUGAAACAGUACGUGAAAUUGCUGAAAGGGAAACGCUUGAAGUCAGUCACGUUUGCUAGAAUUCAGCCUUGUGGUGUACUUUCUAGUAAAUGGGCCAGCAUCAUUUUUGAUCAUUGGAAAAAGGCAGAGGAAAAGUGGCACUACUUGUAGUGUGUUAUAGUCCUUUGUCAAAUACAGUGGUUAAGAGUGAGGAAUGCCAUUUUUUUGUAGGAUGCUGGCGUAAUGGCUUUAAACGACCCGUCUUGAAACACGGACCAAGGAGUCUAACAUGCCUGCGAGUGUUUGGGUGGUUAAAACUCAUGCGCGUAAUGAAAGUGAAAGUUGGGAAGGUUAUCAUGACCUGCACCGACGCCCGGACUUGAGAUUUAUCAAAGGUUCUGCGGUAGAGCAUGUAUGUUGGGACCCGAAAGAUGGUGAACUAUGCCUGAAUAGGGUGAAGCCAGAGGAAACUCUGGUGGAGGCUCGUAGCGAUUCUGACGUGCAAAUCGAUCGUCAAAUUUGGGUAUAGGGGCGAAAGACUAAUCGAACCAUCUAGUAGCUGGUUCCUGCG
RNAcentral lists this ribosomal RNA (903 nucleotides) under Vararia gallica. RNAcentral describes it as "LSU rRNA". It matches the Rfam family "Eukaryotic large subunit ribosomal RNA", at positions 38 to 962 of the family's 3401-position model. Lineage: Eukaryota; Fungi; Basidiomycota; Agaricomycetes; Russulales; Lachnocladiaceae. The record is from RNAcentral.